Molecule: ribosomal RNA, 253 nt
Filed under: uncultured bacterium
Lineage: Bacteria
Description: partial 16S ribosomal RNA
Rfam family: Bacterial small subunit ribosomal RNA
Source: RNAcentral
UACGUAGGGUGCGAGCGUUAAUCGGAAUUACUGGGCGUAAAGUGUGCGCAGGCGGCAGAGCAAGUCGAGUGUGAAAGCCCCGGGCUUAACUUGGGAAUUGCGCUCGAAACUACUUUGCUGGAGUGUGGCAGAGGAAGGUAGAAUUCCACGUGUAGCAGUGAAAUGCGUAGAGAUGUGGAGGAAUACCGAUGGCGAAGGCAGCCUCCUGGGCCAACACUGACGCUCAUGCACGAAAGUGUGGGGAGCAAACAGG